UGGGGAAUAUUGCACAAUGGGCGAAAGCCUGAUGCAGCGACGCCGCGUGAGGGAUGACGGCCUUCGGGUUGUAAACCUCUUUCAGCAGGGACGAAGCGCAAGUGACGGUACCUGCAGAAGAAGCACCGGCUAACUACGUGCCAGCAGCCGCGGUAAUACGUAGGGUGCAAGCGUUGUCCGGAAUUACUGGGCGUAAAGAGUUCGUAGGCGGUUUGUCGCGUCGUUUGUGAAAACCAGCAGCUCAACUGCUGGCUUGCAGGCGAUACGGGCAGACUUGAGUACUGCAGGGGAGACUGGAAUUCCUGGUGUAGCGGUGAAAUGCGCAGAUAUCAGGAGGAACACCGGUGGCGAAGGCGGGUCUCUGGGCAGUAACUGACGCUGAGGAACGAAAGCGUGGGUAGCGAACAGGAUUAGAUACCCUGGUAGUCCACGCCGUAAACGGUGGGCGCUAGGUGUGGGUUCCUUCCACGGAAUCCGUGCCGUAGCUAACGCAUUAAGCGCCCCGCCUGGGGAGUACGGCCGCAAGGCUAAAACUCAAAUGAAUUGACGGGGUCAUAGCUGUUU
This 564-nucleotide ribosomal RNA is filed under the name uncultured bacterium. RNAcentral's name for it is "partial 16S ribosomal RNA". It matches the Rfam family "Bacterial small subunit ribosomal RNA", at positions 355 to 935 of the family's 1533-position model. The record is from RNAcentral.